GGUUCAUGGUUUCCUGUAUCAAACUUCUUGCAUCUCACAAACACAAAAUACCUUUCCUUGUCAAAUUAUCAUUUCAAUUCAGAUCCGCCUCAAAAUCGUUGACAACCAAUGAUUUAUGAUUUGGAGACGGAUCGGAAUUGAAUAGAUGAUUGGACAUCUCACAAAAUCAAAAUACUUUUCUUUGUCAAGUUAUCUGUUCAAUUCAGAUCCGUCUCGAAACCGUUGACAACCAAUGAUUUAUGGUUUGGAGACGGAUCGGAAUUGAAUAGAUGAUUGAACAUCUCACAAAAUCAAAAUACUUUUCCUUGUCAAGUUAUCUGUUCAAUUCAGAUCUGCCUCGAAACCGUUGACAAACAAUGAUUUAUGGUUUGGAGACUGAUCGGAAUUGAGUAGAUGAUUGGAUAACACAAAGUUAAUUGGUUUGGUUGUACGGUCGGCUCUCUAAGGCAAUUUGGGUGGAUCGUCAAGUAAUCAAGGAGGAACGGAUAAUCGGUUGAAAUGAAAGCUUUAAAGGUACGUGGCUAUGCGUGUGACACCCCAGGAAAACCAGGAAACCACGCAACCCAACUAGCUUCCUAAGUGACUACGUGCUAAAUUUCGGGACGAAAUUUCUUUUAAGUUGGGGAUAAUGUAACAACUCGAGUUUUUAAAGUCUUUUCUCGAUAUGUUAUCUGUUUCACAAUUGUGGUCUUGUAACUUGUUGCUUUGUAAUUGUGCAUGUUGGUUAAAUGUUUGGAA
Molecule: long non-coding RNA, 738 nt
Organism: Helianthus annuus (common sunflower)
Lineage: Eukaryota; Viridiplantae; Streptophyta; Magnoliopsida; Asterales; Asteraceae
Exons: 2
Source: RefSeq, a predicted model, not a curated record